This 253-nucleotide ribosomal RNA is filed under the name uncultured bacterium. RNAcentral's name for it is "partial 16S ribosomal RNA". It matches the Rfam family "Bacterial small subunit ribosomal RNA", at positions 524 to 776 of the family's 1533-position model. The record is from RNAcentral.
UACAGAGGGUGCGAGCGUUGUCCGGAAUCACUGGGCGUAAAGGGCGCGUAGGUGGCCUGGUAAGUAGGGGGUGAAAUCUCGCGGCUCAACUGCGAGGCUGCCUCCUAAACUGUCAGGCUCGAGCAGAGUAGAGGCAGGUGGAAUUCCCGGUGUAGUGGUGAAAUGCGUAGAUAUCGGGAGGAACACCAGUGGCGAAGGCGACUACCUGGCCUGUUCUUGACGCUGAGGCGCGAAAGCUAGGGGAGCAAACGGG